GUGGGGAAUAUUGGACAAUGGGCGAAAGCCUGAUCCAGCCAUGCCGCGUGUGUGAAGAAGGUCUUCGGAUUGUAAAGCACUUUAAGUUGGGAGGAAGGGCAGUAAGUUAAUACCUUGCUGUUUUGACGUUACCGACAGAAUAAGCACCGGCUAACUUCGUGCCAGCAGCCGCGGUAAUACGAAGGGUGCAAGCGUUAAUCGGAAUUACUGGGCGUAAAGCGCGCGUAGGUGGUUUUGUAAGUUGGAGGUGAAAUCCCCGGGCUCAACCCGGGAACUGCCUCCAAAACUGCAUGACUAGAGUACGGUAGAGGGUAGUGGAAUUUCCUGUGUAGCGGUGAAAUGCGUAGAUAUAGGAAGGAACACCAGUGGCGAAGGCGACUACCUGGACUGAUACUGACACUGAGGUGCGAAAGCGUGGGGAGCAAACAGGAUUAGAAACCCUUGUAGUCC
RNAcentral lists this ribosomal RNA (450 nucleotides) under uncultured bacterium. Its description in RNAcentral is "partial 16S ribosomal RNA". It matches the Rfam family "Bacterial small subunit ribosomal RNA", at positions 354 to 796 of the family's 1533-position model. The record is from RNAcentral.